This is a long non-coding RNA of Balaenoptera ricei (Rice's whale), 2247 nucleotides long. RefSeq lists it as uncharacterized. The transcript is spliced from 3 exons. The record is from RefSeq and is a predicted model, not a curated record. Lineage: Eukaryota; Metazoa; Chordata; Mammalia; Artiodactyla; Balaenopteridae.
GCCGGUGCACACAGGUGGGGCUGCUGCAGGCUACCUUCGCUCACAGAGGCCGAGCUGAACCGUGAGCUGUGAGGCACCUCUGACUUUGGGGACCCUUGAAGCACAGUUGUCUGAAAUGGCCGUGUUCCCGUGGCCCCCAAUCCCUUAGGAGGCGGCACGGGGACCCCAGGACCCCGGGGAGAGCCGUCCCAGGGCACAGAAUAUGCGCCUGUGUUUACCUCCCAGACCAACACUGAGCAGAUGAAGAUUCGAGAGAUGAGACAUUUGAUGAGACAUUUGCGUUAUUAUGCGUAUGGAUGGAUUUCUUCUGCCGGAGUCCUAGUCAACCUACUUUGCAAAUUGUGUUACAAAGAGCCAUAAGACACUUGAGACUCUGCAGACACAUCCCAGGGCCUGGGCUCCGUAGGUAACAGAGAAGCAGGCGGCUUUACAGAAAAUGAUGAUGGCGGAUCAGACCGUGCUGUGUGAUCCUGUUUUCUUAGCCUGCAUCCUUGUGCCCUAAGGACUGCCUCUGAAAAUGCGAAGCUCUCGGGCUUAAACGGAUCCUGCGCUGACUCUGCUCUGCGGACCUGCCCCCGCUCAGGGGUGGCCGGCAGGGCUGGCGUGUCUGCUGGGCUGGCUGGACCUGCGGGAAGCACCCCCAGUGGCACCAAGAUGGGUGAUUCACAUUUUCUCGAUGGAGAGUUCGUGCUCCUGUCUCACCUUUCUUGACCAACGAGGAGCCAUUUGGAUAUUUUAAGAUAGCGGGGCACAGGCUUCACGUGUUUAUUUUGUGACUGAGCAUUUGAGUUUAGGGAGACUGUGAAAAUGCUGUUCUUUUCUCCUUAGAGACUUCUAAACUCUGCUUUCCCCCAGAAGGGAGGGGAGAGAUUCUUCUUGCUAAAGACAGCGGUCGGUCGGCAAACUGGGUUCCACACGGCCCUUGGUGCCAUGGACCAGCAGAGGGACGGCCCGAGUGGAUCCACGUCUUUUAGUUCUGGUGCCCUGGGAGCAGGACCUCACCUGGUGUCCCGACUCCCUUCCCGCCCCCGUCUGCAGACGAGGAAGCUCGGCAGGGAGGCUGCGUCCAGCAGAAGGAAGGUGUGGUUGGGGGUUGCAUGCUGGCCUCACGCCCAGCACUGUGUUGACUGCUUCACGUGUUCGCUCUUGGAAUCCUCCCGGCAGCCCUGUGCAGCCAUCUGCCAUCAUCCCCAUUCCAUAGAUUAGGAAACUGAGGCACUCAGGCAACUUGUCCAAAGUCACGCAGCUCCUAGGUGGCUGAGCCGGGAUUCAGACCCGGGUGAUCUGGGCCCGAGUCCUUGCCUCGACCCAUGAUGCACGGUGUGGACCAGGGUCUGUCUUGGGUGGCGUUCUCUCCCACUGAUGGAUUUCAUCUUCUCCCUGGGACUUGUUCCUAAGACACAGAUGGCCCUAGAACACCUGCUUCCCAGGAGUAGAGGCCCCUCCGUCAUUGGUGGUACAAAUGUGGGCUCAACAGCAAAAUCACAGCGUCUCCCCAUGACUGUGUGGGCGUCCUCAUCGGGAGCUUGGGAUGACUUGCAUCUGUUUUCCUCCGUGAUUCUCUCCACACCUGUGAGGGUCCAGAAGCUAAAAAGGCACAGCCACACUGAGAGGAGUCACCUCUCCACAGUGGCCCGAGGCCCCUCUUGAGAGACAGACAUCCUGAAAACCGAAGCACCACGGCCCCCAAAUAAGUGAUUUCCCUUCUGCUGUCGGAAAACGACUUUCUUUUCAUUCACACACACAUUGGUUUUUCCUUUCCUGCUAAAGUGUAGGCACUGGAUGAGAAAACAGACUUGGCCAAACUCCUGGUGGGAGUGGUUUGUGACCCAGGGCGCCAGCUCACAGCCCGAGUGAGCACUCGGGUGGGAGAGGCGCCCCACGUCUGCGGGUGCAGCCCACAGGGUGUCCGGCUCUGUGCUCGGCGGCUGGUGGUCUGCAGCGGUGGACGGGGGACAGCCUGAGCAAAGAGCCAUUUGAAGGGAACCCAUGGAUGCCUGGUUGACCUCACGUGUAGGUCUGCCUCUUGGUCGUUGGGUUAUGUGAAUCACUCGCUACACGGGGAUUGUACUUGUGUUUAUCAACUCAAGGUCAUCAAGCUAAAUGCUCAGUAUCGUUUUUACGAAAGUAGUGCUGUCCUAGAUCAUAAGCAAGGUCAUUUUUUAAUUAAAGGCGAGUUAGUCUGGAUCUUAAACACCUUAAAAGAUGUUUUUCAAUGGAGGGGCUGGAAGGUGCUGUACCUCUUUG